This is a small nucleolar RNA of Pogoniulus pusillus (Red-fronted tinkerbird), 128 nucleotides long. RefSeq annotates it as small nucleolar RNA SNORA24. NCBI's taxonomy places the organism in Eukaryota, Metazoa, Chordata, Aves, Piciformes, Lybiidae. The transcript has a single exon. The record is from RefSeq and is a predicted model, not a curated record.
AUCCAUGCCUCCAUGGGAGCUGCCCUGUGGCUGUUUCCCUUCCUAGCAUGGCAGAGCAGUUCCUUGCUAAUUGGCAAAACUUAUACCCUCCCGUGGGUAUUAGUCGUUGACUGUAGCAAGUAACACGC